UCCCCAGUGGCUCAAAGGUUAAAGCGUUUGCCUGGAAUGCAGGAGGCCCGAGUUCAAUCCCUGGGUUGGGAA
RNAcentral lists this transfer RNA (72 nucleotides) under Ovis aries (sheep). It matches the Rfam family "tRNA". Rfam says of the family: Transfer RNA (tRNA) molecules are approximately 80 nucleotides in length. Their secondary structure includes four short double-helical elements and three loops (D, anti-codon, and T loops). Further hydrogen bonds mediate the characteristic L-shaped molecular structure. tRNAs have two regions of fundamental functional importance: the anti-codon, which is responsible for specific mRNA codon recognition, and the 3' end, to which the tRNAs corresponding amino acid is attached (by aminoacyl-tRNA synthetases). tRNAs cope with the degeneracy of the genetic code in two manners: having more than one tRNA (with a specific anti-codon) for a particular amino acid; and 'wobble' base-pairing, i.e. permitting non-standard base-pairing at the 3rd anti-codon position. The record is from Rfam by way of RNAcentral. Lineage: Eukaryota; Metazoa; Chordata; Mammalia; Artiodactyla; Bovidae.